Molecule: unclassified non-coding RNA, 253 nt
Filed under: Hevea brasiliensis (rubber tree)
Lineage: Eukaryota; Viridiplantae; Streptophyta; Magnoliopsida; Malpighiales; Euphorbiaceae
Source: RNAcentral
GGAUGCCUAGGAAUGGAUUUCUGCAUGAUAUUUCAAGAACAUUGGAAAACAGGAAAGCGAAUAUACCUGCACUUAGGAAGCUUUUACUAUUCUUUCUCAUUUUAUAAAUGCUUUCAGAAAUAAUUCCAUAGUCGGAAAUGAAGUAUUAACUUUUAACUUUUAAUUGUUUACAUCAAAAGAAUAUCAGUGCUAGCAAGGCAGUCACACAGUUUCCCCUUUUUAUUUUGUUUCAAUUGUUAAUAUUCAAUUUUGG